This 439-nucleotide long non-coding RNA is filed under the name Oryctolagus cuniculus (rabbit). RNAcentral describes it as "lncRNA (ENSOCUG00000035768.1)". Lineage: Eukaryota; Metazoa; Chordata; Mammalia; Lagomorpha; Leporidae. The record is from RNAcentral.
AUGACUGUUACAAUGAUCCCCCUUCUUGAAGGGUCACAUUGCUCUCAGAGAAUUCAAAAACAUUGUUGCUGCAAGAGAAGCAUUCUCCCAUGGAGCAGGUCUAGGCUUUGUGAGAUGUGGGCUGAGAGUUCCAGAGUCAUGAUGAUGUCACAGGACACUGUUUUACAACACUGCUAUUAUGUUCACUUGAGAGUCUUCUAUAUGUCAUGUUACCUCUUUACCACUAAACCUGAGAUGAACAGCUUCUAUGCUUGGUGCUUACGAAGAGAUCAAAGGCAGAGACUGACACUCAAUGUAAUGCCCCUUUUGGUCUGAAUGAAAAUUGGAGAAAAUAACACACUCUACUGUAUGGAGUCAACAGUAGGAAGUACAUAAGGUUGAAGACACUGCUGAUGAAAAUGAAUGAAUGAGUAAAUAAAUAAAUGACAUGUUUAAUGCA